Molecule: ribosomal RNA, 253 nt
Filed under: uncultured bacterium
Lineage: Bacteria
Description: partial 16S ribosomal RNA
Rfam family: Bacterial small subunit ribosomal RNA
Source: RNAcentral
GACGUAGGGGGCAAGCGUUAUUCGGAAUUAUUGGGCGUAAAGAGCUCGUAGGCGGUCUGUCGCGUCUGUUGUGAAAACUCGAGGCUCAACCUCGGGCUUGCAGUGGAUACGGGCAGACUAGAGUGCGGUAGGGGAGACUGGAAUUCCUGGUGUAGCGGUGAAAUGCGCAGAUAUCAGGAGGAACACCGGUGGCGAAGGCGGGUCUCUGGGCAGUAACUGACGCUGAGGAGCGAAAGCGUGGGGAGCGAACAGG